UGCACUGCUGUGGCUGUGAUGCAGGCUGGCAGCUGCAGCUCCGAUUAGACCCCUAGCCUGGGAAGCUCCAUGUGCCAUAGGUGCAGCCCUAAAAAAGCAAAAAAAAAAAAAAAAAAAAAAAAAAAAAANCUCUACAACCAAAAAACUGGAAAAUGCAAAAGAAAGUAAUGAUUGUAUUAAGAUAAUCCCCUACCCCAAAUAAUAGACUUGACUAAACUAAUAACCAAGAAAGAAUAUUGGGAAAAGUUAUCAAAGAACAACUGGAGGGGGGGAGGAUGUGCCAUGCACAAAUUAUUCAUAAAUUCUUUCAAACUUUGAAAAGGUAAUAUAAAAGCUAGACAGAUUGUUAGGUUACAGAAAAAUAUGGGGAUCUUCCAGUCUAUUUGGCAUAACUCUAUAUGGCUGGCAUAACUCUGGUUCCAAAACCAAAGCAGAUAAUGUAGGAAAAACAAAAAACAAAAACUUUAUAGACUUCUGUUCCAGCCAAGACAGAGCAACUUUUAAGAAACCAAUGUCCCUGCCAAGAACAACUAGGAAAGCUGCUACGAUACAUCACCUGUUCUGAGACAUUCAAGAACUGCUCAGCAGCUGGGAUUUAAAGCACCAAAAUCCUAAAGGAAAAAAAAUGAUGGAGGUGUGCCUGACAUCCUGCAUUCUGGUCUUCCUCUUGGGUUAUUUACCACUUCCUAAAUGGUGUGGGGUUAGAUGCUGAAAAGCUUGGCAGAAGCACAAAGAUAAAGCAAAGAAGCCCAGGAACGGUGAGUAAAGCCUUCCACAGUCUUACAGGGCUGGGAAGAUACAAAAUGUGACAGCACCUAUCUAGGGUUCCAGGGUCCAGUCAUGACUAGAGGGUCCAAAGCUGGUACAGAGGGAGACAGUGUGCCUACCUCUUUACCCACUCUACUUUUAAAAUAGGUGAUGAUUCUUAAUCAAAGGAGGGUGAGAGACUAAACCGCCUUGCACAAAGAGGCUGGAUAACUGAACAGAACUUUCAGGAGACUCGUGGUGCUGGGAAAAUAAGUUUUGGGGUUCAGGAACCACCAAGGCAAAAACAAACUCUCAAGGAUCUUGGGGAGAGGAGAAUGACCACAAGCUACCAAGCCUUCCAAAGACUGCAAAUCAGCCUCAGUUUCUGAUCAAAUUGAGGUGAUCUGCCUCUUCUCUGCCUGACAGAGGACAUGAUAAAUCCUUAGGAGACAGGCUAGGCGAAUCCUCUUUGCAAGAAGGGAACAUCAUCCAUAACAUGAAUAAAUGUCCCACAUUCGACUGAAAAGUACCAGGCACACUAAGACACAGGAGCAAGAGUCAAAAUAACUAUUAGACCCACAGGCAAUAUAAUUACCGGAGUUAUCAAACAUGGCCUUCAAAAUAAUGGAGAAAUGGAUAACUACAUGGAGAAUUUAACCAGAGCAGAAUUAAUCUAAAAGUAAAAGACAGACUAAAUGAAAUUAAGAAUUCAAUAAAUGGGUUUUCUAAUAUCAUAUAAAACACAGAAUCAGUAAAGUAAAAGACAUGUUAGAAGAAUAGAAAAGUUAAACUUAAUUGACAUUUUCAGGACACUACAUCCAAAAAAAUCAGGAUACACAUUCUUCUCAAGUGCACAUGGAACAUUCUCAAGGACUGAUCAUAUAUUUGGGCAUAAAGCUAACCUCAAAAAAUUUAAGAGUACAGAAAUUAUUUCAAGUAUCUUCUCUGACCACAUGCCUUGAAACUAGAAAUCAACCACAGGAAAAGAAAUGAGAAAAAAACCUACUACAUGGAGACUAAACAACAUGCUACUAAAAACCCAAUAGGUCAAUGAGGAAAUCAAGAAGGAAAUUAACAAAUACCUUGAGACAGGAGUUCCCAUCGUGGCACAGUGGUUAACGAAUCCGACUAGGAACCAUGAGGUUGUGGGUUCGAUCCCUGGCCUUGCUCAGUGGGUUAGGGAUCCAGCAUUGCCGUGAGCUGUGGUGUAGGUUGCAGAUGCAGCUCAGAUCCCGUGUUGCUGUGGCUCUGGUGUAGGCCGGUGGCUAUGGCUCUGACUGGACCCCUAGCCUGGGAAUCUCCAUAUGCCAUGGGAGUGGCCCUAGAAAAGACAAAAAGAUAAAAAAAAUACCUUGAGACAAAUGAUAAUGAAGACACAACCACUCAAAAUCUAUGGGAUGCCACAAAAGCAGUGCUCAGAGGGAAAUUCAUAGCAUUACAGGCCUUCCUCAAAAAAGAAGAAAAAUCUCAAAUUGACACCACACCACCUAAAUGAAUUGGAAAAAGAAGAACAAAAACAACAACAACAAAAAACUAAAGUCAUCAGAAGGAAGGAAAUCAUAAACAACAAAGAGGAAAUCAAUGAAAUAGAGAUUUUUUAAAAAUGGAAAAAAAUCAUAAAACCAAGAGCUAGAUCUUUGAAAAGGUAAACAAAAUGGACAAACCUUUGGCCAGAUUCACCAAUAAGAGGAGAGAAAAAACCCGAAUAAACAAAAUAAGAAAUGAAAAAGGAUAAGUCACAAUGGAUACUACAGAAAUACAAAAAACUAUGAGAGAAUACCAUCAACAAAUUUGACAACCUCGAAGAAAUGGAUAACUUUCUAGAGACAUACAGCCUACCAAAAAUGAAUCAAGAAGAAACAGGAAUCAACUAAACAGACCGAUCACUAGAAAUGAAAUUGAAUAUGUCAUAAAAACACUCCCUACAAAUAAAAGUCCAGGACUAGAUGGCUUCACAGGCGAAUUCUACCAAACAUACAAAGAGGAACUUACACCCAUCCUCCUUAAACUUUUCUAAAAGG
Molecule: long non-coding RNA, 2768 nt
Filed under: Sus scrofa (pig)
Lineage: Eukaryota; Metazoa; Chordata; Mammalia; Artiodactyla; Suidae
Description: lncRNA (ENSSSCG00055022236.1)
Source: RNAcentral